AGAAAGGAUGAGGCAGGCCAAG
RNAcentral lists this microRNA (22 nucleotides) under Cavia porcellus (domestic guinea pig). RNAcentral's name for it is "cpo-miR-12072-3p". Lineage: Eukaryota; Metazoa; Chordata; Mammalia; Rodentia; Caviidae. The record is from miRBase by way of RNAcentral.